Long non-coding RNA from Mastomys coucha (southern multimammate mouse), 1126 nucleotides. RefSeq lists it as uncharacterized. NCBI's taxonomy places the organism in Eukaryota, Metazoa, Chordata, Mammalia, Rodentia, Muridae. The record is from RefSeq and is a predicted model, not a curated record. The transcript is spliced from 2 exons.
AGAAGUUCAUUGCAGAACCAGAUUUCAUCACCAGGAAACAGUGAAAGCUAAUUAUUUCACUACAAAGUGAUACCUUCUACAAUGAAUUACUAUGCAGCUGUAAAUAAGAACAAACAAAGGCCAUGUGUAUGACCCCUGUACUGCAGUCCCCGCGGAGGCCAGAAGAGGUCCUCAGAGGCAGGCAGAUCUCUGGGUUCCAGGCCAGCCAGAGCUAUAAGGUGGUUGUAAAUCUAAUCAAGUUGAUAAUGAGGAAGAACACCACAAAUACAUGUCAGCCAGCUUAAGUUGGUUACGUGGUGUGAAAAACUGAGCAGAAAAAGGAUGUUUGAGAAGCUGUGCAAAGACUGGGGGCUGGUUAAGAGCACUUGUGCUCUUGCAGAGGCCCUGAGCAUUUCCAGUAUCUACAUCAUGUAUCUCACAGCUGCCCGUAUGUAACUCCAGAUCUAGAGGAUCCGAGCAAGACUGGGUCUAAUAUUAAAUUGAAUUUAAAAGGUUACCCCUCACAUUGUCAAACCAAGUAGCCAGAUACAAGUAACAACAAAAGAUACCUGUGGUUUUGUGUUCAUUUUGAGACAGGUUUCCAAGUAGUCCAGACUGGCCUUGAAUUCAUUGUGUGGCUGAGGAUGACUCUGAAUUUCUGAUUUUCUUGCCUCUUUCUCCCAGGUGCUGUGAUUAUGGACAUGUAGCAGCAUGCCCUGUUUGUGGAGUGCCGGGGCUUGAAUCCAGGGCCUUGUGCAUGCUAGGCAAGCACUCUACCAGGUGAGCCACAACCCCAGCCCAAGACAUCUGGUUUGAACCAGAUCUUUUCAUUAAGUUAAGCAGGAAGGCAGCUUGCAACACAUGCAUGGGAAAUGUGCCAUCUUGGUUUAAUGAGUGGGUUUCUGCAGUAUGUUGAAACACUUCAACUUCCUUAACCCAAUAUCUGAUGAAGGAGCAAGGAUAGAGAAAUUAAUUUACCACACACUAAUUAAAGGGGGGUGCACACUGUAUACACAGCGAAAGUCUCUGGAAUAAAUAUUUGAUAAACAGUAUCUGGCAAAUUAAAAACCUGAAAUGUUAAAUUAAAUGCAAAUUAAAAAUCUGGAAUGUUAAAUUAAUUAAAUACGGAAAAUUGCAUCAAACAGCA